GUAGGUGGCAAGCGUUGGCCGGAAUUAUUGGGCGUAAAGCGCGCGCAGGCGGUCCUUUAAGUCUGAUGUGAAAGCCCACGGCUCAACCGUGGAGGGUCAUUGGAAACUGGGGGACUUGAGUACAGAAGAGGAAAGCGGAAUUCCACGUGUAGCGGUGAAAUGCGUAGAGAUGUGGAGGAACACCAGUGGCGAAGGCGGCUUUCUGGUCUGUAACUGACGCUGAGGCGCGAAAGCGUGGGGAGCAAACAGGGAUUAGAUACCCUGGUAGUCCACGCCGUAAACGAUGAGUGCUAAGUGUUAGGGGGUUUCCCGCCCCUUAGUGCUGCAGCUAACGCAUUAAGCACUCCGCCUGGGGAUACGGCCGCAAGGCUG
Molecule: ribosomal RNA, 372 nt
Filed under: uncultured organism
Description: partial 16S ribosomal RNA
Rfam family: Bacterial small subunit ribosomal RNA
Source: RNAcentral